AUGAACGAGCGCCGGGGAGCGGCUCCGCAGGCAGCUGUCACCGCUGCGGACUCAAGACAACCGCCUUCCACCGUCGGUCAGGCGGCAGCGGCACGCGGGGAGCGAGGCCCGGCCGCCCGCACGCCCCGGCCGAGGCCCCGAGCCGCAGCACGCCUCCAUUCAUUCUCCCGCGCGCCCCCCGCCCCGCGCCCCCCGCCCCGCGCCCCGCCGCCGGCCCCCGCCCCCCCCGCCCGCGCCCCCGCCCCCGCCCCCGCCGGAGCCUGUCACCCGCCGACCCACCGACGGAGGCCGGGGCCGGGGCCGGCGAGGGGGCCCACCGCACCGCUGCCCUCGGCGCCGCGCCGGGAGCGCCACCAUCCCCUCGGCCGCCGAGGACGGGCGACGCGCCGGUCCCGCCCGCCUCUCCUCCCCGGGGACUCGCCGGCUCCGCGGGGCCCCGCCACAGGGAGGGGAAAGCUCUCCGAACACCCCUUCCCGGGCUUCCCUCUCCGGCCGGCGAGCCCCUCGCCCCGGCCCCUCGGGGCCUCCCGGGCCGGGGCCACGGCGCCAGGGCCGCCCCGAGAAGCCCCCAGGAAAAGGAGGGGGCGACACCCCCAUACUCACCCACCGUCUCCUCCCCCUCGGCUGUUUACCUCACAGCUCCUCCAGCCUACAGGGCGCCGCCAUCUUGGACGCACAGCACCUCCCCCCGGCGUGAAGUGGCCGCGGCCGCUGCGGCCUCCGCCGCGAAAAAGAGUGCCCGGCCGGGCCUCGCCGCCCCCGCGACCCCGGCGGCAGAUGACCGCGGCCGGCAGCCCCGCCGGGCGCACGAGGCCGUCCCGUUCAUUCCUGACGAUGCCAGCCGGUCGACAAGGGGCCCAGGAGACUUUGAAGGGAAGGGGGCGGGGACUGGCGGAAGGAUCCCGAAAGGAGGUCGCUGAGCGAUCUUGUGACUCCGAAGGAGGCGAAAAGAAGGGCCGGCGCGGCGGGAGGAGCCACGCGAGGGGGCGAGGGGCGGGGCGGAGGUCACGUGCCCGGCCGGGCGGGAGGGGCCGAGCCGGAGGCGUAAACAAGGUGGCGGGGCUGGGUGUGGCUGCGGGGCCUGGGGCCUUCCCUCGGGCCGCCCCCGCCCCUUCGGACCCGGGCCCCCACAGCAUCGUAGGUCCCGCUGACCUCCAGGCUGGCCUCGCAGCAGAGAAGCCUCCCCACAAACCGCCUUUCUCCUCAUGUUGGGGCUCCAGACCUGCAGUUUAA
This 1233-nucleotide long non-coding RNA is filed under the name Canis lupus familiaris (dog). Its description in RNAcentral is "lncRNA (ENSCAFG00030019050.1)". Lineage: Eukaryota; Metazoa; Chordata; Mammalia; Carnivora; Canidae. The record is from RNAcentral.